RNAcentral lists this ribosomal RNA (496 nucleotides) under uncultured bacterium. RNAcentral's name for it is "partial 16S ribosomal RNA". It matches the Rfam family "Bacterial small subunit ribosomal RNA", at positions 28 to 506 of the family's 1533-position model. The record is from RNAcentral.
GAUGAACGCUGGCGGCGUGCCUAAUACAUGCAAGUCGAGCGAACGGACGAGAAGCUUGCUUCUCUGAUGUUAGCGGCGGACGGGUGAGUAACACGUGGAUAACCUACCUAUAAGACUGGGAUAACUUCGGGAAACCGGAGCUAAUACCGGAUGAUAUUUUGAACCGCAUGGUUCAAAAGUGAAAGACGGUCUUGCUGUCACUUAUAGAUGGAUCCGCGCUGCAUUAGCUAGUUGGUAAGGUAACGGCUUACCAAGGCAACGAUGCAUAGCCGACCUGAGAGGGUGAUCGGCCACACUGGAACUGAGACACGGUCCAGACUCCGACGGGAGGCAGCAGUAGGGAAUCUUCCGCAAGGGGCGAAGGCCUGACGGAGCAACGCCGCGUGAGUGAUGAAGGUCUUCGGAUCGUAAAACUCUGUUAUUAGGGAAGAACAUAUGUGUAAGUAACUGUGCACAUCUUGACGGUACCUAAGCAGAAAGCCACGGCUAACUACGG